RNAcentral lists this long non-coding RNA (1917 nucleotides) under Suricata suricatta (meerkat). RNAcentral describes it as "lncRNA (ENSSSUG00005013186.1)". Lineage: Eukaryota; Metazoa; Chordata; Mammalia; Carnivora; Herpestidae. The record is from RNAcentral.
CCCAGGCCCCUUCCCAGGGACGUGUUAAUUACCUUCCCCCACUGGUCCCCAUGGGUAACCGGGCUGGAAAUGAGCCAAGGCAGGCUCCAGCUUACUUUGCUCUGUUCUGCCUGGGAAAACCAACGGUCCUCAGCCCCAAGCUUGGCGCUGGUGCAGGGAUGUGGAAUUUUCCAGGAAAACUUCAAAAUCAUCACCGAGAGGGGAAGACAUUUGAAAACUGAUCUUGAAGAGGAGAAAGAAGAGGCAGGCCAGCUUCCCCAGCACGGAAACUCCAAGUCACCUGCCUGGGAAGAAGCACGGAAAAAAAAUCCCACGGCCAUGCCCUCCCUUGGAAAAAAAAAAUUCUAGGAAACAAAAUACAACGACAUCUUUUUAUUUUGUUUUUUUCGGUAAUUAUACUAAAGAUGAAAAACUCAUAAUAAACAUCUCCCAGUCCCCACCUGCUAACAGUAAUUAUAAUAGACUCAACAAUAAAUGGUAAAGCAGGGCAGAGCUGCAUCUCGGGAAUUCUCUAGGGCAUGUGGAUUAGCUCGGAAAGCCUGAAUGAUUAAAAUACACUAAUUAAAAUUUUGUGUUCCUUGGUAACUCGUCUGCCUGGGCCCCUGGUGUUGGCAAAAUGGGAAUUAACGUGACAAAAGCAACACAGAGGGUUUUUGUUUUAAAUAAAGAAAAAAAGAGAGAGAGAGAGAGAGGGAGAAGGGAAGAUCUAUAUAAACAAGUUAGACACCAGGAGAAAAGAAAGACGAGGUGGUUUUCUUCCCUCUUUUUCUAACGAGAGCACCAGGAUGCUUGGGACAGAGAAGUGUAAGGUAAAGGGUCCAGGGCCUGGACCGGAGUCCCUCUGCCCUGCUCUGGGGUCCUGUGAGGGGCAUGGGCAGCAUGUGUCCAGAGGUCACUGUUUAGAAAUAAUUACUGGAGAAAGGAGGGCUGGAGGGAGGGCAGUGGGGAGAGCAGGCGCCCACCCCAAGUCCGGCUUCCCAACAACAUUCCUCUAGGGCGGGUCACAUGCCCCCAAUUCCCCGCCCCACGGCCAACGGGACCCUGGGAGGACGCAAGGGAGCUUCUACCCCAUUGCAGUUGCACAAAAGAAAUUGAACACUUUUGAGUUGCCCUUAGCAACCUAAUUGCAUCAGUACAUUGCACACAGGAGCCAAAGUAACUGAAUUUUGAUGAAAAGACGGCGGUAAUUUACGGCAUCACAAAAUUAGUUGUCAUGGCGACGGGUUAAUUACAUCUCAAAUUAACAAUGCAAGUGUGGUGAAAUUAAAUAUAAAUCAUAUUUUCUGCAUAAAUUAUAGGGGUUGAUUAGACCGGGGCUCUGGGAGAGGGAAAGGUUGAGCCGCCACGGGCCCCAAGCUGCAUUCUGAGCUGCCGAGAGAGGCGCCUGCAAACGCGGGCGCGGAUGGGGAGCUCUUGGAGGGGAUGGGGGACCGGCGGAGUCAGGCGCCAGGGCUGUCGGGGCUGCCUCCCUCUGCUCCCGCUGCCGCUUGCAGGCUUGGCUGGCUCCACACAGCGCCAGGGCUGUCCCCAAAGUUUGCUUCUGUUUGGCUCAAACUUUGGCUAGGGGAGGGGGGGCCGAGCAAGAAGGAGGGAGACGGCAGGUGCUUCUUAGCUGAGUGCCAGAGACACGAGUUCUACCUUCAACCAUCCCAAGUGACUUUCCCGCUUUCUGUGCCCUGAGCCUUCAGAGAACCCUCCACAGAUGGCCGGCUUAACCUUGCUCUCUUCAGUUAAACGGGGUCAAAUGGUUUCUGAGUCACAUGUAUCUGCCAACGGGGGGAGGAGGAGGAGGGGGUCAGGCCCUGUGCCACCCGACAGGUAAAUGGCGUGCGGCCGGGGCCGCGCCAAGUGGGCAGCAUUCACUGUAGGUGUCCGGGGUAUCCAGAGCCAGACCACGGGUGGCAGCAAACACCUCUG